Molecule: ribosomal RNA, 253 nt
Filed under: uncultured bacterium
Lineage: Bacteria
Description: partial 16S ribosomal RNA
Rfam family: Bacterial small subunit ribosomal RNA
Source: RNAcentral
UACGUAGGUGACAAGCGUUGUCCGGAUUUACUGGGCGUAAAGCGUGCGCAGGCGGUGAUGUAAGACAGGUGUGAAAUCCCCGGGCUUAACCUGGGAACUGCAUUUGUGACUGCAUCGCUGGAGUGCGGCAGAGGGGGAUGGAAUUCCGCGUGUAGCAGUGAAAUGCGUAGAUAUGCGGAGGAACACCGAUGGCGAAGGCAAUCCCCUGGGCCUGUACUGACGCUCAUGCACGAAAGCGUGGGGAGCAAACAGG